UUAAGUUAUUAAGGGCGCACGGUGGAUGCCUUGGCACUAGAAGCCGAUGAAGGACGUUACUAACGACGAUAUGCUUUGGGGAGCUGUAAGUAAGCUUUGAUCCAGAGAUUUCCGAACGGGGAAACCCAGCAUGAGUUAUGUCAUGUUAUCGAUAUGUGAAUACAUAGCAUAUCAGAAGGCACACCCGGAGAACUGAAACAUCUUAGUACCCGGAGGAAGAGAAAGAAAAUUCGAUUCCCUUAGUAGCGGCGAGCGAAACGGGAAGAGCCCAAACCAACAAGCUUGCUUGUUGGGGUUGUAGGACACUCUGUACGGAGUUACAAAGGACGACAUUAGACGAAUCAUCUGGAAAGAUGAAUCAAAGAAGGUAAUAAUCCUGUAGUCGAAAAUGUUGUCUCUCUUGAGUGGAUCCUGAGUACGACGGAGCACGUGAAAUUCCGUCGGAAUCUGGGAGGACCAUCUCCUAAGGCUAAAUACUCUCUAGUGACCGAUAGUGAACCAGUACCGUGAGGGAAAGGUGAAAAGCACCCCGGAAGGGGAGUGAAAUAGAACCUGAAACCGUGUGCUUACAAGUAGUCAGAGCCCGUUAAUGGGUGAUGGCGUGCCUUUUGUAGAAUGAACCGGCGAGUUACGAUUUGAUGCAAGGUUAAGCAGUAAAUGUGGAGCCGUAGCGAAAGCGAGUCUGAAUAGGGCGUUUAGUAUUUGGUCGUAGACCCGAAACCAGGUGAUCUACCCUUGGUCAGGUUGAAGUUCAGGUAACACUGAAUGGAGGACCGAACCGACUUACGUUGAAAAGUGAGCGGAUGAACUGAGGGUAGCGGAGAAAUUCCAAUCGAACCUGGAGAUAGCUGGUUCUCUCCGAAAUAGCUUUAGGGCUAGCCUCAAGUGAUGAUUAUUGGAGGUAGAGCACUGUUUGGACGAGGGGCCCCUCUCGGGUUACCGAAUUCAGACAAACUCCGAAUGCCAAUUAAUUUAACUUGGGAGUCAGAACAUGGGUGAUAAGGUCCGUGUUCGAAAGGGAAACAGCCCAGACCACCAGCUAAGGUCCCAAAAUAUAUGUUAAGUGGAAAAGGAUGUGGCGUUGCCCAGACAACUAGGAUGUUGGCUUAGAAGCAGCCAUCAUUUAAAGAGUGCGUAAUAGCUCACUAGUCGAGUGACACUGCGCCGAAAAUGUACCGGGGCUAAACAUAUUACCGAAGCUGUGGAUUGUCCUUUGGACAAUGGUAGGAGAGCGUUCUAAGGGCGUUGAAGCAUGAUCGUAAGGACAUGUGGAGCGCUUAGAAGUGAGAAUGCCGGUGUGAGUAGCGAAAGACGGGUGAGAAUCCCGUCCACCGAUUGACUAAGGUUUCCAGAGGAAGGCUCGUCCGCUCUGGGUUAGUCGGGUCCUAAGCUGAGGCCGACAGGCGUAGGCGAUGGAUAACAGGUUGAUAUUCCUGUACCACCUAUAAUCGUUUUAAUCGAUGGGGGGACGCAGUAGGAUAGGCGAAGCGUGCGAUUGGAUUGCACGUCUAAGCAGUAAGGCUGAGUAUUAGGCAAAUCCGGUACUCGUUAAGGCUGAGCUGUGAUGGGGAGAAGACAUUGAGUCUUCGAGUCGUUGAUUUCACACUGCCGAGAAAAGCCUCUAGAUAGAAAAUAGGUGCCCGUACCGCAAACCGACACAGGUAGUCAAGAUGAGAAUUCUAAGGUGAGCGAGCGAACUCUCGUUAAGGAACUCGGCAAAAUGACCCCGUAACUUCGGGAGAAGGGGUGCUCUUUAGGGUUAACGCCCAGAAGAGCCGCAGUGAAUAGGCCCAAGCGACUGUUUAUCAAAAACACAGGUCUCUGCUAAACCGUAAGGUGAUGUAUAGGGGCUGACGCCUGCCCGGUGCUGGAAGGUUAAGAGGAGUGGUUAGCUUCUGCGAAGCUACGAAUCGAAGCCCCAGUAAACGGCGGCCGUAACUAUAACGGUCCUAAGGUAGCGAAAUUCCUUGUCGGGUAAGUUCCGACCCGCACGAAAGGCGUAACGAUUUGGGCACUGUCUCAACGAGAGACUCGGUGAAAUCAUAGUACCUGUGAAGAUGCAGGUUACCCGCGACAGGACGGAAAGACCCCGUGGAGCUUUACUGUAGCCUGAUAUUGAAAUUCGGCACAGCUUGUACAGGAUAGGUAGGAGCCUUUGAAACGUGAGCGCUAGCUUACGUGGAGGCGCUGGUGGGAUACUACCCUAGCUGUGUUGGCUUUCUAACCCGCACCACUUAUCGUGGUGGGAGACAGUGUCAAGCGGGCAGUUUGACUGGGGCGGUCGCCUCCUAAAAGGUAACGGAGGCGCUCAAAGGUUCCCUCAGAAUGGUUGGAAAUCAUUCAUAGAGUGUAAAGGCAUAAGGGAGCUUGACUGCGAGACCUACAAGUCGAGCAGGGUCGAAAGACGGACUUAGUGAUCCGGUGGUUCCGCAUGGAAGGGCCAUCGCUCAACGGAUAAAAGCUACCCCGGGGAUAACAGGCUUAUCUCCCCCAAGAGUUCACAUCGACGGGGAGGUUUGGCACCUCGAUGUCGGCUCAUCGCAUCCUGGGGCUGUAGUCGGUCCCAAGGGUUGGGCUGUUCGCCCAUUAAAGCGGUACGCGAGCUGGGUUCAGAACGUCGUGAGACAGUUCGGUCCCUAUCCGUCGUGGGCGUAGGAAAUUUGAGAGGAGCUGUCCUUAGUACGAGAGGACCGGGAUGGACAUACCUCUGGUGUACCAGUUGUCGUGCCAACGGCAUAGCUGGGUAGCUAUGUGUGGACGGGAUAAGUGCUGAAAGCAUCUAAGCAUGAAGCCCCCCUCAAGAUGAGAUUUCCCAACUUCGGUUAUAAGAUCCCUCAAAGAUGAUGAGGUUAAUAGGUUCGAGGUGGAAGCAUGGUGACAUGUGGAGCUGACGAAUACUAAUCGAUCGAAGACUUAAUCAA
RNAcentral lists this ribosomal RNA (2921 nucleotides) under Staphylococcus aureus WMCS6038. Its description in RNAcentral is "bacterial LSU rRNA". It matches the Rfam family "Bacterial large subunit ribosomal RNA". The record is from RNAcentral. Lineage: Bacteria; Bacillati; Bacillota; Bacilli; Caryophanales; Staphylococcaceae.